CUCUUUCAAAAAACGUCUUUAAUACACAAAAACGUACAGAAUAUAAACAUCAAUAGUAUUCAUGUAUUAAACAAAUAGCACAUGUACUUAUAAACACAAUUUCUCGCCCAUCGUUUUUUUAAAGCACCAAUUCACUGACAUCAUUCCUUGAGAUUAUAAAAGUUUACUAGCGUUAGUCUGACCAAUCAAUCAAAAACCUAAAUAAUUAUAUUCCUAAUUGUGCCUAUAUUCUAAUUACCCAUAAUUCAUUAAGAAUCUCCUCGACUCCCUCUUGUUUAUGACCCUGUUUAUGUUGGCUCCAGAUAGAAGUCGCCCUUAGGUACAGAUCUAGGAUCAGUUUUCCCUCACCCAAAGGACAAUGCAACAACGUCUCCUCUUCACCCCCUGCUGACAUCACCAAUUCAAGUCCUUAUCCAGUCAUUAGGCAGAAUAGUCUAUGUAAUAUUAUGUCAAAUAGGGUCUGUUUCAUACAUGUACACAUGUGGAGGCCAGUAGGAAUGUGUUUCAUCCCCCUGAGACCCUCUCAGACAGUGAGGUUACAGAUCAGCCACGUGUGGAGGCCAGUAGGAGUGUGUUUCAUCCCCCUGAGACCCUCUCAGACAGUGAGGUUACAGAUCAGCCACGUGUGGAGGCCAGUAGGAGUGUGUUUCAUCCCCCUGAGACCCUCUCAGACAGUGAGGUUACAGAUCAGCCACGUGUGGUGGCCAGUAGGAGUGUGUUUCAUCCCCCUGAGACCCUCUCAGACAGUGAGGUUACAGAUCAGCCACGUGUGGUGGCCAGUGGGAGUGUGUUUCAUCCCCCUGAGACCCUCUCAGACAGUGAGGUUACAGAUCAGCCACGUGUGGAGGCCAGUAGGAGUGUGUUUCAUCCCCUGAGACCCUCUCAGACAGUGAGGUUACAGAUCAGCCACGUGUGGUGGCCAGUAGGAGUGUGUUUCACAUGUUUCCCAUGACAAUAAAGCCCCUUGGAUUGAAUUAAGAGAGAGAGAGAGAGAGACAGACACACAGAGAGAGACACAGAGAGAGACACAGAGAGAGAGAGAGAGACACAGAGAGAGAGACACACAGAGAGAGACACACAGAGAGAGACACAGAGAGAGACACAGAGAGAGAGAGAGAGAGAGAGAGAGAGAGACACAGAGAGAGAGACACAGAGAGAGACACAGAGAGAGAGACACAGAGAGAGACACAGAGAGAGAGAGAGAGAGACACACAGAGAGAGAGACACAGAGAGAGACACACAGAGAGACAGAGAGAGAGAGACACACAGAGAGAGACACACAGAGAGAGACACACAGAGAGAGACACAGAGAGAGAGAGAGAGAGAGAGAGAGAGAGAGAGAGAGAGAGAGAGAAAGAGAGGGAGAGAGAGAGAGAGAGAGAGAGAGAGAGAGAGAGAGAGGGAGAAAGAGAGGGAGAGAGAGAGAGAGAUAGGGAGAAAGAGAGGGAGAGAGAGGAAGAAAGUAUAGUGGAGUAACUUGUUAAAGGUCUGUGUGUGUCUGCACCUGUAUAACUCCUGGAACACUAACAACUGGUCCUUCCAUUAAACCAGUUGUGCUUUACAAACUAUCCCUCUGAUACACUGAGUAGGCAGCCUUUCCCUUUAACAAACUGGAACUGGUUUAUACUGUGUAACACAGUGAGGGGAAUAGACAAACACUACAGCUUGGUUGGAGGUAGAAACCAGAGCUGUGUUACCCCCUGUCUUUGACCCUGUGUGAUUAAGUCCCUGAUACAUGCAUACCAUUACUCAACCUCUAUUUCUAGUCCUUCCUCUCUCUCUCUCUCUCUCUCUCUCUCUCUCUCUCUCUCUCCUCUUUCUCUCUCUCUCUCUCUCUCCUUUCAGGCCCUCUCUGUGUGUGUUUGUGUUGGCAACAGCCUCUUAAGUGCGGUAGGUAAAAUCCCUACAUCCAACAAGCCUGCCAAGAAAGCCACACACACACACACACACGUGCGGGCACGCCAAACACACAAAGAGAGAAGGAGAGCCAAGAAAGCUUCACUCAGCUCAACCUCAGGGGGGAGAAGCUUUAGAAAACCCCAGGUCCUUUCUCCUCCCACACAAUAAGAUGUGCUGCUGUUACUGUACGUUAGUCGUUGUUAUCAUGCAGCUCUUACUAAUAUACUGUGUCUGAAAGGAGGAUCACAUUUACAUAUCUGGUUUACUUUAGGCCAGAGAAUGUUCCCACAGGAAAAACAACGCUGUUUUACAGGAGUCGGCAGCUCUUCCUCAGUUCAUGCUACUCUACUGUAAUGUUUACAUUAGUUAGUUAGUUUGUUAGUUUACACUAGAAAGGGCCGAUCUUAGAGAUGUCCUAACUUGAGGGGUCAUGACCCCACUCUCCCAUCUGGGAUACAUUCUCAAAGACUUUCUGCCUUACCCUUUCUAUCUUUCUAUUUCCCUCUCUCCUUCUCUCUCAUGAGAAUGCAGUCUCCUCUCGCUCUCUUCCAUUCACCCCUUUCUCCCUUUCUCUCAUCCUCCUUCUUUCUCCUUCUCUCUCAUCCUCCUUCUUUCCCUCUCCUUUUACCCCUUUUCGCUCCCUAUUUUUCUGUCCUCUCUACUAUUCUCAUCUCCCUCUCUGUCUCCUUCUUUCCCCUUCUCUCAGGGUAGUUCGGUCAGUCAGAGGUCUGGUUGUCAUUAGCUUCCUGUUACUGACUUAAAGAAAAACAGCCCCGACAGAGAGAGAGAGGGACGUACGGACAGACAGACAGAGAGAGAGAGAGAGAGAGAGAGAGAGGGAGGGACGGAAGGACAGAGGAUGAGAGAGAGAGGGAGAGAGAGAGCAAAAGAGGGAGGUCAGGGAGAGACAGAGAGAGACAGAGAUGGAGAGAGAGGGAGAGAGAGCAAGAGAGGGAGAGGAAGAGCAAGAGAGAGGGAGAGGAAGAGCAAGAGAGGGAGAGGAAGAGCAAGAGAGAGGGAGAGGAAGAGCAAGAGAGAGGGAGAGGAAGGAAGAGAGAGAGAGAGAGGA
Oncorhynchus tshawytscha (Chinook salmon) is the source of this 2968-nucleotide long non-coding RNA. NCBI's taxonomy places the organism in Eukaryota, Metazoa, Chordata, Actinopteri, Salmoniformes, Salmonidae. The record is from Ensembl.